Molecule: long non-coding RNA, 435 nt
Filed under: Homo sapiens (human)
Lineage: Eukaryota; Metazoa; Chordata; Mammalia; Primates; Hominidae
Description: HSALNT0247354
Source: RNAcentral
CAAACAUUUAACUGCAGUACAUGACGCUCCUUUUUUCAUUCUGCCAUGGUAAUGAGAAUGUUCCAGACCAUGGAGUCUCUGUGAUCCUGGGUCCAGAAGGACUGUAGAACAGAGCCCCCCACUCCAUUACAACCCACACUGGACAUGAAUUUUAGCCAUUCUCCACUAAGUCCUCCAUGGCCACCACGCAGCCACACCUUCAGACACCAAGACAAGUCCUCCUUCUCCGUGUCCCACAGUGCCUUGUCUCCUGAGAUGACAAGCUCCUUGGCACCAGAGAUGGUAUCUUUCUCAUCUUUGCCUCCUCGGAGAUACAGUACACUAUACACUGUACAGUGCAUAGUACACAGGAGAAGAGGCACAAGAAUGUGGAAUAUGUGACCCAUGUACAUGAAGAUAUUCCUGGUUCACUCAAAAGUACGAUUUUGAGAAGCC